RNAcentral lists this ribosomal RNA (241 nucleotides) under uncultured Actinomycetales bacterium. RNAcentral describes it as "partial 16S ribosomal RNA". It matches the Rfam family "Bacterial small subunit ribosomal RNA", at positions 89 to 334 of the family's 1533-position model. Lineage: Bacteria; Bacillati; Actinomycetota; Actinomycetes; Actinomycetales. The record is from RNAcentral.
ACUCGAGUGGCGAACGGGUGAGUAACACGUGGGUGAUCUGCCCUGCACUUCGGGAUAAGCCUGGGAAACUGGGUCUAAUACCGGAUAGGAGCCAUUUUUAGUGUGAUGGUUGGAAAGUUUUUCGGUGUAGGAUGAGCUCGCGGCCUAUCAGCUUGUUGGUGGGGUAAUGGCCUACCAAGGCGGCGACGGGUAGCCGGCCUGAGAGGGUGGACGGCCACAUUGGGGCUGAGAUACGGCCCAG